CUAUUCCUACGGGACGCAGCAGUAGGAAAUCUUCCACAAUGGGGAAACCCUGAUCCAGCGACGCCGCGUGAGUGAAGAAGUAUUUCGGUAUGUAAAGCUCUAUCAGCAGGGAAGAAAAUGACGGUACCUGACUAAGAAGCCCCGGCUAACUACGUGCCAGCAGCCGCGGUAAUACGUAGGGGGCAAGCGUUAUCCGGAUUUACUGGGUGUAAAGGGAGCGUAGACGGCAUUGCAAGUCUGAUGUGAAAGAUUGGGGCUCAACCCCAGGCCUGCAUUGGAAACUGUAAAGCUGGAGUACAGGAGAG
Molecule: ribosomal RNA, 305 nt
Filed under: uncultured bacterium
Lineage: Bacteria
Description: bacterial SSU rRNA
Rfam family: Bacterial small subunit ribosomal RNA
Source: RNAcentral